Vibrio sp. is the source of this 273-nucleotide non-coding RNA. Lineage: Bacteria; Pseudomonadati; Pseudomonadota; Gammaproteobacteria; Vibrionales; Vibrionaceae. The record is from Rfam.
UUACGUGUAGGGUGGAGAUGUACAACUGCAGGUCUGCGUAGCAAUUAGCUUUACCAAGACGCCUUAUCUCGUCCGCUACCUGCAAUUGAUUCCUCCUCCUUUAACAAAUGCUUGUUGUUGAUUCAGCGAGCAGGAGAUGUCCGUCGCGACCCAGCCCUAUUUGGCUGACUGUCGCUUGACAAUGCAGCGGCUUAUGACCGCUGCUGACGCGCCUGACACCGACCCUGAGAGUCGUGUGUGCCGAACGCCGUUUCCGAGAGCACCGGAAACCGA